AUGUGGAGCCUGGCUCUGGGGACUGGAGGAACUCAUAGGUCAGCUGUUGGAUGUGGAGCCUGGCUCUGGGGACUGGAGGAACUCAUAGGUCAGCUGUUGGAUGUGGAGCCUGGCUCUGGAGGAACUCAUAGGUCAGCUGUUGGCUGUGGAGCCUGGCUCAGGAGACUGGAGGAACUCAUAGGUCAGCUGUUGGAUGUGGAGCCUUUCCUGGAGACUGGAGGAACUCAUAGGUCAGCUGUUGGAUGUGGAGCCUUUCCUGGAGACUGGAGGAACUCAUAGGUUAGCUGUUGGAUGUGGAGCCUGGCUCUGGAGACUGGAGGAACUCAUAGGUCAGCUGUUGGAUGUGGAGCCUGGCUCUGGGGACUGGAGGAACUCAUAGGUUAGCUGUUGGAUGUGGAGCCUGGCUCAGGAGACUGGAGGAACUCAUAGGUUAGCUGUUGGAUGUGGAGCCUGGCUCUGGAGACUGGAGGAACUCAUAGGUCAGCUGUUGGAUGUGGAGCCUGGCUCUGGGGACUGGAGGAACUCAUAGGUCAGCUGUUGGAUGUGGAGCCUGGCUCUGGAGACUGGAGGAACUCAUAGGUCAGCUGUUGGAUGUGGAGCCUGGCUCUGGGGACUGGAGGAACUCAUAGGUUAGCUGUUGGAUGGGGAGCCUGGCUCUGGGGACUGGAGGAAUUCAUAGGUCAGCUGUUGGAUGUGGAGCCUGGCUCUGGAGACUAGAGGAACUCAUAGGUCAGCUGUUGGAUGUGGAGCCUGGCUCUGGAGACUGGAGGAACUCAUAGGUUAGCUGUUGGAUGUGGAGCCUGGCUCUGGAGACUGGAGGAACUCAUAGGUCAGCUUUUGGAUGUGGAGCCUGGCUCUGGAGCCUGGAGGAACUCAUAGGUUAGCUGUUGGAUGUGGAGCCUGGCUCUGGGGACUGGAGGAACUCAUAGGUCAGCUGUUGGAUGUGGAGCCUGGCUCAGGAGACUGGAGGAACUCAUAGGUCAGCUGUUGGAUGUGGAGCCUGGCUCUGGAGACUGGAGGAACUCAUAGGUUAGCUGUUGGAUGUGGAGCCUGGCUCUGGAGACUGGAGGAACUCAUAGGUCAGCUGUUGGAUGUGGAGCCUGGCUCUGGGGACUGGAGGAACUCAUAGGUUAGCUGUUGGAUGUGGAGCCUGACUCAGGAGACUGGAGGAACUCAUAGGUUAGCUGUUGGAUGUGGAGCCUGGCUCUGGAGACUGGAGGAACUCAUAGGUCAGCUGUUGGAUGUGGAGCCUGGCUCUGGAGACUGGAGGAACUCAUAGGUCAGCUGUUGGCUGUGGAGCCUGGCUCUGGAGACUGGAGGAACUCAUAGGUCAGCUGUUGGAUGUGGAGCCUGGCUCUGGAGACUGGAGGAACUCAUAGGUUAGCUGUUGGAUGUGGAGCCUGGCUCUGGAGACUGGAGGAACUCAUAGGUUAGCUGUUGGAUGUGGAGCCUGGCUCUGGAGACUGGAGGAACUCAUAGGUCAGCUGUUGGAUGUGGAGCCUGGCUCUGGGGACUGGAGGAACUCAUAGGUCAGCUGUUGGAUGUGGAGCCUGGCUCUGGAGACUGGAGGAACUCAUAGGUCAGCUGUUGGAUGUGGAGCCUG
RNAcentral lists this long non-coding RNA (1603 nucleotides) under Salmo trutta (river trout). RNAcentral's name for it is "lncRNA (ENSSTUG00000037377.1)". The record is from RNAcentral. Lineage: Eukaryota; Metazoa; Chordata; Actinopteri; Salmoniformes; Salmonidae.